Molecule: non-coding RNA, 225 nt
Filed under: Pseudomonas caspiana
Lineage: Bacteria; Pseudomonadati; Pseudomonadota; Gammaproteobacteria; Pseudomonadales; Pseudomonadaceae
Source: RNAcentral
CCUACACGCCUUGUUACGGGUGCCCCUCACAGGGUGAAACGGGAAACCGGUGCGUUCAGGCCUUUGGUCUGUACAAGUCCGGCGCUGCCCCCGCAACGGUAAGUGAGCGAAGAAUCAGAUCCACUGUGCCGAUCACGGCAUGGGAAGGCGAUUCUUGCAGGUUGAACGCCAUCGAGCGCUCACCCCCUCGCAAGCCCGGAGACCGGCCCGACAUGAAACAAAUAA